RNAcentral lists this ribosomal RNA (501 nucleotides) under uncultured bacterium. RNAcentral's name for it is "partial 16S ribosomal RNA". It matches the Rfam family "Bacterial small subunit ribosomal RNA", at positions 30 to 523 of the family's 1533-position model. The record is from RNAcentral.
AUUGAACGCUGGCGGCAGGCUUAACACAUGCAAGUCGAGCGGGGGAAGGUAGCUUGCUACCGGACCUAGCGGCGGACGGGUGAGUAAUGCUUAGGAAUCUGCCUAUUAGUGGGGGACAACAUCUCGAAAGGGAUGCUAAUACCGCAUACGUCCUACGGGAGAAAGCAGGGGAUCUUCGGACCUUGCGCUAAUAGAUGAGCCUAAGUCGGAUUAGCUAGUUGGUGGGGUAACGGCCUACCAAGGCGACGAUAUGUAGCGGGUCUGAGAGGAUGCUCCGCCACACUGGGACUGAGACGCGGCCCAGACUCCUACGGGAGGCAGCAGUGGGGAAUAUUGGACAAUGGGGGGAACACUGAUCCAGCCAUGCCGCGUGUGUGAAGAAGGCCUUAUGGUUGUAAAGCACUUUAAGCGAGGAGGAGGCUACUUUAGUUAAUACCUAGAGAUAGUGGACGUUACUCGCAGAAUAAGCACCGGCUAACUCUGUGCCAGCCGCCGCCGUAA